UUUGACAUAAUGUUCGUCCAUGCGAAAUAUGGGCCACGUGCCAAGGUGUGCGCCCUAUCAUAGUAAAAAAGUAUCAGACGAGCUACACAAUGAUUCUAUCCAUAUAUCUGUCUAUGAGAUUGCUCACCUAUUUGGUACACUUGGUUUGCUGCUCUGUUUGUACUUUCAUGUGAUUUAUCCUAAUUUCAUGUUAAUGGCAGUGUUUUGUGAAAUCUAAAAAAUAUUAUUAUGUUAGAAGUUAAUUUUUAUCCCUAUUAGAUAAAAUGUACAUUGGCACGAGUUUAACGGGAUCGUGCGCCAAGGCGUGGCGCACAUCUAAAUCUAGUAGAGAUGAAUGGAGAACUGGGAAGCAGAGUUGAGAAGCUCCCAGAAAUUCCCCACAUCGACAUGUUCCUCUACUCUGGCUCUAACACAAAUUAGCCCUAAAUCCUCAAUAUGGUAUCAGAGCAGGCCGAUUCGGCGUGAUUUUUCCGCAAUUAGUCCUUCUACGGUGCUGUGUCGCCGUGAUUUGUUGGUGGAGAAGUGCGAUCUGCUGCACAGACCGCCGUUGUUGCGUCGUCGUCGCCCGCGAGCGUACAGAACGCCGCCGCUGCAUCGCCGUCGCCGCGAGCUUCCGUACAGAGUGACGCCGCUACGUCGUCGUCCGCGAGCUGCUACACAGAGCGGCGUCGAAGCUGCGGCAAGCUGUGACGGAGGAAGCCGUGCUGCUCUGGGAAGUAGCUCUUCAGUGCAGCUGCACCUGCCUCUAGCUGUCCCUGUCCUCCCUGUCCAAGCAGACGUGGUUUCUUGCAAAGAUUUAGCAUCCAAGUUUGUUUGCUAGACUGCAAGCUGAUUGGAGCUAGGAACAGGGAGACUUCUUGGGACCGGGACCGUGCAUGAUGGGCUUUAUUACCUUGAUGAAGGAAGUGAUGAAAUUGCUCUUGCAACUUGCAUGUCUCCAUGUCAAGAAUUAAUGUUACACCAUCGUAGGCUUGGGCAUCUCUCUUUUGCUGCUUUAUCUCGUAUUUAUCCUUCUCUUUUUAAGUCAUGUCCUAAGGAAUCCAUUGUAUGUGACGCGUGUGAAUUGGCCAAGCAUACAAGGGGUACUUAUCCUAGUAGGGGUCUUAGAAGUAACAAUCCUUUUGAAGUGGUUCAUUCUGAUGUUUGGGGCCCUUGUGAGGUCCAAUCCAUAUCUGGACAUAGGUGGUUCGUUACCUUUAUUGAUUGUUUUAGUCGUUUUA
This is a non-coding RNA of Lolium perenne, 1220 nucleotides long. NCBI's taxonomy places the organism in Eukaryota, Viridiplantae, Streptophyta, Magnoliopsida, Poales, Poaceae. The record is from RefSeq and is a predicted model, not a curated record.